GUUAAGCGACUAAGCGUACACGGUGGAUGCCCUGGCAGUCAGAGGCGAUGAAGGACGUGCUAAUCUGCGAAAAGCGCCGGCGAGGUGAUAUGAACCCUUGACCCGGCGAUGUCCGAAUGGGGAAACCCAGUGUGAUUCGUCACACUAUCGUUAACUGAAUACAUAGGUUAACGAGGCGAACCGGGGGAACUGAAACAUCUAAGUACCCCGAGGAAAAGAAAUCAACCGAGAUUCCCCCAGUAGCGGCGAGCGAACGGGGAGCAGCCCAGAGUCUGAAUCAGCUUGUGUGUUAGUGGAAGCGUCUGGAAAGUCGCACGGUACAGGGUGAUAGUCCCGUACACGAAAGCACACAGGCUGUGAACUCGAAGAGUAGGGCGGGACACGUGGUAUCCUGUCUGAAUAUGGGGGGACCAUCCUCCAAGGCUAAAUACUCCUGACUGACCGAUAGUGAACCAGUACCGUGAGGGAAAGGCGAAAAGAACCCCGGCGAGGGGAGUGAAAAAGAACCUGAAACCGUGUACGUACAAGCAGUGGGAGCACCUUCGUGGUGUGACUGCGUACCUUUUGUAUAAUGGGUCAGCGACUUAUAUUCUGUAGCAAGGUUAACCGUAUAGGGGAGCCGAAGGGAAACCGAGUCUUAACUGGGCGUUAAGUUGCAGGGUAUAGACCCGAAACCCGGUGAUCUAGCCAUGGGCAGGUUGAAGGUUGGGUAACACUAACUGGAGGACCGAACCGACUAAUGUUGAAAAAUUAGCGGAUGACCUGUGGCUGGGGGUGAAAGGCCAAUCAAACCGGGAGAUAGCUGGUUCUCCCCGAAAGCUAUUUAGGUAGCGCCUCGUGAACUCAUCUUCGGGGGUAGAGCACUGUUUCGGCUAGGGGGCCAUCCCGGCUUACCAACCCGAUGCAAACUACGAAUACCGAAGAAUGUUAUCACGGGAGACACACGGCGGGUGCUAACGUCCGUCGUGAAGAGGGAAACAACCCAGACCGCCAGCUAAGGUCCCAAAGUCAUGGUUAAGUGGGAAACGAUGUGGGAAGGCCCAGACAGCCAGGAUGUUGGCUUAGAAGCAGCCAUCAUUUAAAGAAAGCGUAAUAGCUCACUGGUCGAGUCGGCCUGCGCGGAAGAUGUAACGGGGCUAAACCAUGCACCGAAGCUGCGGCAGCGACGCUUAUGCGUUGUUGGGUAGGGGAGCGUUCUGUAAGCCGUUGAAGGUGGCCUGUGAGGGUUGCUGGAGGUAUCAGAAGUGCGAAUGCUGACAUAAGUAACGAUAAAGCGGGUGAAAAGCCCGCUCGCCGGAAGACCAAGGGUUCCUGUCCAACGUUAAUCGGGGCAGGGUGAGUCGACCCCUAAGGCGAGGCCGAAAGGCGUAGUCGAUGGGAAACAGGUUAAUAUUCCUGUACUUGGUGUUACUGCGAAGGGGGGACGGAGAAGGCUAUGUUAGCCGGGCGACGGUUGUCCCGGUUUAAGCAUGUAGGCGGAGGUUCCAGGUAAAUCCGGUACCUUUUAACGCUGAGGUGUGAUGACGAGGCACUACGGUGCUGAAGUAACAAAUGCCCUGCUUCCAGGAAAAGCCUCUAAGCAUCAGGUAACACGAAAUCGUACCCCAAACCGACACAGGUGGUCAGGUAGAGAAUACCAAGGCGCUUGAGAGAACUCGGGUGAAGGAACUAGGCAAAAUGGUGCCGUAACUUCGGGAGAAGGCACGCUGAUAUGUAGGUGAAGCCCCUGCGGGUGGAGCUGAAAUCAGUCGAAGAUACCAGCUGGCUGCAACUGUUUAUUAAAAACACAGCACUGUGCAAACACGAAAGUGGACGUAUACGGUGUGACGCCUGCCCGGUGCCGGAAGGUUAAUUGAUGGGGUUAGCGGCAACGCGAAGCUCUUGAUCGAAGCCCCGGUAAACGGCGGCCGUAACUAUAACGGUCCUAAGGUAGCGAAAUUCCUUGUCGGGUAAGUUCCGACCUGCACGAAUGGCGUAAUGAUGGCCAGGCUGUCUCCACCCGAGACUCAGUGAAAUUGAACUCGCUGUGAAGAUGCAGUGUACCCGCGGCAAGACGGAAAGACCCCGUGAACCUUUACUAUAGCUUGACACUGAACACUGGUCCUUGAUGUGUAGGAUAGGUGGGAGGCUUUGAAGCGUGGACGCCAGUCUGCGUGGAGCCGUCCUUGAAAUACCACCCUUUAAUGGCUGGUGUUCUAACGUAGACCCGUAAUCCGGGUUGCGGACAGUGUCUGGUGGGUAGUUUGACUGGGGCGGUCUCCUCCCAAAGAGUAACGGAGGAGCACGAAGGUUAGCUAAUCCUGGUCGGACAUCAGGAGGUUAGUGCAAUGGCAUAAGCUAGCUUGACUGCGAGAGUGACGGCUCGAGCAGGUGCGAAAGCAGGUCAUAGUGAUCCGGUGGUUCUGAAUGGAAGGGCCAUCGCUCAACGGAUAAAAGGUACUCCGGGGAUAACAGGCUGAUACCGCCCAAGAGUUCAUAUCGACGGCGGUGUUUGGCACCUCGAUGUCGGCUCAUCACAUCCUGGGGCUGAAGUAGGUCCCAAGGGUAUGGCUGUUCGCCAUUUAAAGUGGUACGCGAGCUGGGUUUAGAACGUCGUGAGACAGUUCGGUCCCUAUCUGCCGUGGGCGCUGGAGAAUUGAGGGGGGCUGCUCCUAGUACGAGAGGACCGGAGUGGACGCAUCACUGGUGUUCGGGUUGUCAUGCCAAUGGCACUGCCCGGUAGCUAAAUGCGGAAGAGAUAAGUGCUGAAAGCAUCUAAGCACGAAACUUGCCCCGAGAUGAGUUCUCCCUGACUCCUUGAGAGUCCUGAAGGAACGUUGAAGACGACGACGUUGAUAGGUCGGGUGUGUAAGCGCAGCGAUGCGUUGAGCUAACCGAUACUAAUGAACCGUGAGGCUUAACC
Molecule: ribosomal RNA, 2902 nt
Filed under: Enterobacter cloacae
Lineage: Bacteria; Pseudomonadati; Pseudomonadota; Gammaproteobacteria; Enterobacterales; Enterobacteriaceae
Description: Bacterial large subunit ribosomal RNA
Rfam family: Bacterial large subunit ribosomal RNA
Source: RNAcentral